This 487-nucleotide ribosomal RNA is filed under the name uncultured bacterium. Its description in RNAcentral is "bacterial SSU rRNA". It matches the Rfam family "Bacterial small subunit ribosomal RNA", at positions 501 to 987 of the family's 1533-position model. The record is from RNAcentral.
CUACGUGCCAGCAGCCGCGGUAAUACGGGGGGUGCGAGCGUUAAUCGGAAUAACUGGGCGUAAAGGGCACGCAGGCGGUGACUUAAGUGAGAUGUGAAAUCCCCGGGCUCAACCUGGGAACUGCGUUCUGAACUGGGUGACUAGAGUGUGUCAGAGGGAGGUAGAAUUCCACGUGUAGCAGUGAAAUGCGUAGAGAUGUGGAGGAAUACCGAUGGCGAAGGCAGCCUCCUGGGAUAACACUGACGUUCAUGCUCGAAAGCGUGGGUAGCAAACAGGAUUAGAUACCCUGGUAGUCCACGCCCUAAACGAUGUCAAUUAGCUGUUGGGCAACUUGAUUGCUUAGUAGCGUAGCUAACGCGUGAAAUUGACCGCCUGGGGAGUACGGUCGCAAGAUUAAAACUCAAAGGAAUUGACGGGGACCCGCACAAGCGGUGGAUGAUGUGGAUUAAUUCGAUGCAACGCGAAGAACCUUACCUGGUCUUGACAU